UGGGGAAUAUUGCGCAAUGGGCGAAAGCCUGACGCAGCGACGCCGCGUGAGGGAUGAAGGUUUUCGGAUCGUAAACCUCUGUCAGAAGGGAAGAAACCGCACUGUGCUAAUCAGCAGUGCCUUGACGGUACCUUCAAAGGAAGCACCGGCUAACUCCGUGCCAGCAGCCGCGGUAAUACGGAGGGUGCAAGCGUUAAUCGGAAUGACUGGGCGUAAAGCGCACGUAGGCUGCUUUGUAAGUCAGGGGUGAAAUCCCACGGCUCAACCGUGGAACUGCCUUUGAUACUGCUUAGCUUGAAUCCGGGAGAGGGUGGCGGAAUUCCAGGUGUAGGAGUGAAAUCCGUAGAUAUCUGGAGGAACAUCAGUGGCGAAGGCGGCCACCUGGACCGGUAUUGACGCUGAGGUGCGAAAGCGUGGGGAGCAAACAGG
Molecule: ribosomal RNA, 429 nt
Filed under: Fusobacteriota bacterium
Lineage: Bacteria; Fusobacteriati; Fusobacteriota
Description: Fusobacteria bacterium partial 16S ribosomal RNA
Rfam family: Bacterial small subunit ribosomal RNA
Source: RNAcentral